RNAcentral lists this ribosomal RNA (434 nucleotides) under uncultured bacterium. Its description in RNAcentral is "partial 16S ribosomal RNA". It matches the Rfam family "Bacterial small subunit ribosomal RNA", at positions 29 to 507 of the family's 1533-position model. The record is from RNAcentral.
AGCGAACGCUGGCGGCAGGCCUAACACAUGCAAGUCGAACGAACCUUUCGGGGUUAGUGGCGGACGGGUGAGUAACACGUGGGAACGUGCCUUUAGGUUCGGAAUAACUCAGGGAAACUUGUGCUAAUACCGAAUGUGCCCUUCGGGGGAAAGAUUAAUCGCCUUUAGAGCGGCCCGCGUCUGAUUAGCUAGUUGGUUGAGGUAAUGGCUCACCAAGGCGACGAUCAGUAGCUGGUCUGAGAGGAUGAUCAGCCACAUUGGGACUGAGACACGGCCCAAACUCCUACGGGAGGCAGCAGUGGGGAAUCGUGCGAAAUGGGCGAAAGCCUGACGCAGCCAUGCCGCGUGAAUGAUGAAGGUCUUAGGAUUGUAAAAUUCUUUCACCGGGGACGAUAAUGACGGUACCCGGAGAAGAAGCCCCGGCUAACUUCGUG